CCUACGGGAGGCUGCAGUGAGGAAUAUUGGUCAAUGGGCGAGAGCCUGAACCAGCCAAGUCGCGUGAGGGAGUACUGCCCUAUGGGUUGUAAACCUCUUUUGUCGGGGAGCAAAAGCCGGACGUGUCCGGCUGUGAGAGUACCCGAAGAAAAAGCAUCGGCUAACUCCGUUCCAGCAGCCGCGGUAAUACGGGGGAUGCGAGGGUUAUCCGGGUUUUUUGGGGUUAAAGGGUGCGGAGGCGGAUUUUUAAGUCAGCGGUGAAAUCGGGGGGAUCAACCCCAUACAGCCGUUGAUACUGGGGAUCUAGAGUGUGCGAGAGGUAUGCGGAAUGCGUGGUGUAGCGGUGAAAUGCAUAGAUAUCACGCAGAACCCCGAUUGCGAAGGCAGCAUACCGGUGCACAACUGACGCUCAGGCACGAAAGCGUGGGUAUCGAACAGGAUUAGAUACCCCUGUAGUC
This 458-nucleotide ribosomal RNA is filed under the name uncultured bacterium. RNAcentral describes it as "partial 16S ribosomal RNA". It matches the Rfam family "Bacterial small subunit ribosomal RNA", at positions 338 to 795 of the family's 1533-position model. The record is from RNAcentral.